This 455-nucleotide ribosomal RNA is filed under the name uncultured fungus. RNAcentral describes it as "eukaryotic LSU rRNA". The stretch from base 80 to 234 matches the Rfam family "5.8S ribosomal RNA". The record is from RNAcentral. Lineage: Eukaryota; Fungi.
AUCAUCACACGCUACACAUGUCUAGAAUGUAACUACGAUCGUCGACCGCAAGGCCGGUCGGUCUAAACAAACGAAAUACAACUUUCAGCAACGGAUCUCUUGGCUCUCGCAUCGAUGAAGAACGCAGCGAAUUGCGAUAAGUAAUGUGAAUUGCAGAUUUUCAGUGAAUCAUCGAAUCUUUGAACGCACCUUGCGCUCCUUGGUAUUCCGAGGAGCAUGCCUGUUUGAGUGUCAUCGAAUUCUCAACCAUGUCUUGAUCGACAUGGCUUGGACUUGGGGGUUGCUGGCUGCGAAAGCGGUCGGCUCUCCUGAAAUGCAUUAGCGAUGGACGGCAAGUCCUGACGUGCACGGCCUAGACGUGAUAAUGAUCGUCACCGCUGGAGCGCCGGACGAGCCAUCAGUCUGUUUGCUUCCAAUCCCCCCUCGACUUGGGACUUUCGAGCCAGGCUUAGCUA